This 253-nucleotide ribosomal RNA is filed under the name uncultured bacterium. RNAcentral describes it as "partial 16S ribosomal RNA". It matches the Rfam family "Bacterial small subunit ribosomal RNA", at positions 524 to 776 of the family's 1533-position model. The record is from RNAcentral.
UACAGAGGUCUCGAGCGUUGUUCGGAUUCAUUGGGCGUAAAGGGUGCGUAGGUGGCGCUGUAAGUCGGGUGUGAAAUCCUGAGGCUUAACCUCGGAACUGCAUUCGAUACUGCGGCGCUUGAGGACUGGAGAGGAGACUGGAAUUCAUGGUGUAGCAGUGAAAUGCGUAGAGAUCAUGAGGAAGACCAGUGGCGAAGGCGGGUCUCUGGACAGUUCCUGACGCUGAGGCACGAAGGCCAGGGGAGCAAACGGG